UAUCACAGCCAUAUCAUCCUGCAGCCCAAGACCGGUUACUCACUGAAGCUAAGCAUGGCUGAGCCUGGUUAGUACCUGGAUGAGAGACACUAGGGAACACUAGGUUGCUGUUGGAA
Non-coding RNA from Danio rerio (zebrafish), 116 nucleotides. NCBI's taxonomy places the organism in Eukaryota, Metazoa, Chordata, Actinopteri, Cypriniformes, Danionidae. The record is from Rfam.